GAUGAACGCUGGCGGCGUGCCUAAUACAUGCAAGUCGAGCGAACAGACGAGGAGCUUGCUCCUCUGACGUUAGCGGCGGACGGGUGAGUAACACGUGGAUAACCUACCUAUAAGACUGGGAUAACUUCGGGAAACCGGAGCUAAUACCGGAUAAUAUAUUGAACCGCAUGGUUCAAUAGUGAAAGACGGUUUUGCUGUCACUUAUAGAUGGAUCCGCGCCGCAUUAGCUAGUUGGUAAGGUAACGGCUUACCAAGGCAACGAUGCGUAGCCGACCUGAUAGGGUGAUCGGCCACACUGGAACUGAGACACGGUCCAGACUCCUACGGGAGGCAGCAGUAGGGAAUCAUCCGCAAUGGGCGAAAGCCUGACGGAGCAACGCCGCGUGAGUGAUGAAGGUCUUCGGAUCGUAAAACUCUGUUAUUAGGGAAGAACAAAUGUGUAAGUAACUAUGCACGUCUUGACGGUACCUAAUCAGAAAGCCACGGCUAACUACGUG
Molecule: ribosomal RNA, 497 nt
Filed under: uncultured bacterium
Lineage: Bacteria
Description: partial 16S ribosomal RNA
Rfam family: Bacterial small subunit ribosomal RNA
Source: RNAcentral